GAGCAGCCCCGCGGCCGCCGGCAGCCAUCUUACGGCGAGCGGCAGCGCACGGGCCGCGGGCCCACCCGCGCGCGGCCCCUUCCGGCGAGCCGCUUGACAAGCGGGCUGUACCACUGCGCGCCGGGGCGGCAGGGAAGGAACCACUGCCGCCGCGGCAAGGGGGGGAAACAGCGUAGCCAGAGGCGGGAGCUGCCGGGGGUGCCCGACGGAGGCGGCAACGCUGCGACACGAACGGGGGAGCUAUACCAUGGCCGGGACGCGGGAGAAAACGGGAGAUACAACUGCUGGGCAAAGUGACAGUGGGGCAGCGGGCUCCGGGCCUCACCGCCCUGACGCGGCUCACAUCGGCGGUGCCUACGGACGCGGAUGACAGAACCAGAACUGGAGAAUCCAAGGAGUAGGUGUUUCCAGAAUAAGUUCACAGUCACAUGAGGUCUUCCUAAUGUCCAGAUGAUUAUCUGCAGUACCUGGCAGCUCCCCAUAACUUGGCAGAAAAAGUUCCUGUCCUAUGUGGGCAUGGCCCAGUCCUUUUUCAGCCAAGCUUUCAGUGCUGAAAUGUGCAUGGAGAAUUAAGAAAGUCAAUUGCUAAAGCCAGAUCUAAACAGCUUUUCCUUAAAGAAACCACUGCUGAUGUGCUCUGUUCAGUUUGGAAUCCAUCCCAUAUGCUGUUCCACAAAGACAUCUCUGAGCAUCAAGAAUCCACUGAAGUCAGUAUGACUCCACAGGAGAAUAAAGAUCCAUCAACAGGGGAAAUCAAAGUUUUCUUCUACUCCAGGACAAGUUAUCCACAUUGAAAAUACAAAAAUUAAGGCUACCAAACCAACAGAGACAGCUUAGAAACAGCUUCAACUACACAGGAUUACGACCGGUUUCACCAUGGUAAUUAGUAGGUAAAAAAAGGGGCAUAAUUUAUUGCUGCCCACUUGUGAUGCAGUAACUAUUUACUCCCUAGGAAUUCCAUAAUUGCUUACUGUUCUUACUUGAUAUUAAAGAAGAAAAAAAUAAGUAAAGAAGAUCUAUUAACAGGGUCUUUUAUAAGAAGGAUUACCAAAAAAACCCCAAAUCAGUUUGCUUAUAGCAGAAAAAUAGUUUUGCAGAAUGGGCUGUGAAUGUAGUACAAACACAAGGCAGCCUUCCAUUUAAAAAAAAAUUCUUGUAUAACUGUAAAGAAACAGUUAAAAAAAUAUACUUUAGAGCUGCUUUAUACUCCCCAUUUUGAGGAAACCUGAGAAACAUCAGCUAUUAAAAAAUAUCUUUACUGAACUUUGAUCUCGCUAUACUUACACAAAGCAAUCCAGCAGUAGUUUUCUCUUUUAUUUGAAAAGUCUAAGUCUGUUGCCUAUAAACUUAGUAUAUAGAUGACAAAUGUUUUCUGCUGCUACUCAUUUUAACUCUCAUUGCUAAUUUUGACAUUAUGGUUCAUAACAGCUGCACAUACACCAGUCUUGAAAAAACACAAAACAACCAAACUCCCUUUUUUACUUACCCUCACAUUCCCAAUCACCACACUUCUUCCAUUCUGAAAGUACCUUUGUACUCUGCAGACUUGUUACAAACGAAAUUACUAAGAGCAAAAAUCUCUGACCCCAGAUCCUUGACAUGUUAAAUCUAGAAUGCAGUGAAACGCCAAAAAACUGCAUCAAUGCCUGGUUAGUGUGAAUAUUUUACAACUUUUUUAACCUAACAAAGCAUUGUGAAUAAACUAACCAUCCUACUUUCCUUCUCUCAUCUGCUUAAGCAGAAGUAUGCUAUGCUAACAAUUUGCAGAGUCAGGUGUCCUGGUUAUACACAUAUGUUUAAUAAUUAACUAUGUCCUGAUAGCAUAAACUGAUGUUUUGAAAACAAAAGAAACUCACUCUGGACGCAUAAAAAUUUAGCUUCUAUCAGAGAGAUUAUUUGGUGCUGAGUUGGUGGAAGAUUGUGUUAGGGGAAAUUGAGCAAGAGUUGUAUUUGGAUGGGGCUUUUUUAAUAUACAUCUUAAUAUCUGAUUUUAAGGUAGACUAUCAAUUUUAUGCUUCUAUUGAUUUGCAUGAUUGUUAAUAUUGCUGACAAAUCUAUAGCUUUUUUUUUUUGUUGUUUGAUAAACACGGUAUUUGGUGUGCACUGUUAGGUUUUUAGAUUGUUUAGAGGUGGCCACUGGAAACUCAGAACAGAAAUUUUCCCCAAAUACUCUUUUUGAAUUUUCUCAGAUGCUAGGUGAUAAGUACAGUCCUUUAGCAUGGGGAAUACUUACUCAACACCAAAGUCUUUUAAGGUGCUUGGCAGUUUUUCAGGUUCUUAUGACAACUAGAAAAUCCAUGUGCUAUUUCUACAUUGUAUAUCACAGAGCAACAUACCAAAGCUAAGCUGGUAAAAUGUUCUGCUUUUUGAGGAAUAGUCACUAUUUCUUAGCAACCUAUCAGCCAAUACAGAAUUGUAAGAAAUCUUCCUGCAGGUACAGGUUAUGCUUUAAAGUAGUAAUUAUGCAGGGGUUUUUAGACUGGUUGUGUAGGUAUUAAGUUAUGCAGAGGUUUGCAUUAGAAGUCAGCUUUACUUCAAAGGCUUCACAUGAUCCUGCACUUCUUGGCCACCUAAAUGUUAUGUCUAAUUUACCUACAAAAGGAGUUUCCUCUUUCUAUUCCCACCCUCCUGCAAGAAGUAGUCUCUUCUCUCCCUUUUCUUGAUGGCUCCCCAAGAAUUUGCAUCCCAUCCUAACCUGAUCAUGUUUACAGUCACACAUUUCCUAAUAGGCCUGCCCCUCCUUCAGUCCUGAGCAUGAGUCACAGAACUUGGUCUGCUUUCUUGUUCCUAUGUGCAGCACCGUUUCCCCUCCUUCCUGCUCUACAACUCAAGCCUGUGAGACACUGGUGCUUAGCCUGAUCUACUAAGCCAGCAAACAGCUCAUCUACUGAAAGGUGGGAAAGAGGGCACAGUGAUCCAGGGUCAUGUUAACCAGUAAUGCCUGGCAAACAAAAACAUCAGUAGAUGGCAUGUCCUCCAGUUGGCAGUCUAACACUUUGGACCCUUCCUUUGCUCCAUAGCCUGAUAGUCAGACAGGCGUCUCCUGCCAGCUAAGUCACUGAAGGAAAGACAAUAUAGAUCAGCACCCAGCCUUACUCCUGACUAGCUUUGACGCAGACUUGUCUCCAGCAUCAGUAUUUUCUCCUUUUCACUCUCUUGGAUCCUGUAUUGCUUAGAGGGUUUGUGAUUUGGGAACUUCCCCAGGGUCCUCUAGGUUUCUGUGUAGGAGAUGAAAGGGGAGAAUGGAAUACCAGGCAGCCAGAUAUGGCAAAUGUAAAGAAACCUGGUGAGCAGAAAGAAGAGAUGAGCUUUUAUUUUUCUUCAUUCCCAAAUCUCUACAGAUUAGUCAGAAGGCACAUAGAAGAAAUUAUCAUCAUGGAAGCACUUAAAUUGUAGUACUACAAAAUAAUAAUGACUACAAUUUAAUUCCUCCAUGAUAAAUAGCUGAUCAGAAGAGUGUUGCAAUGUUGCACAAAUAACCCCAGGGAGCAGUCCCUUUUUAGGAUGGGUAGCAUGAAUUGAUUCACCUAAAAAUGGGAAAGAGAAAAAAAACCUAAGGAAUCUACACCUUGAGAUUUGCACAAGCUGUCAAAGCAGCUCUACAAACAGCUCGGACUUCAGCUUCAUAACUCUCAGAUCUUUGUAUGGAGAUACAACGUUGUAGCUCAUCUUAGCUAUUCAGUUUGAGCUGCACAAUAAGCAGUGCCCAGAAUAAUUUGAAAAUUGCACAUGCAGGUUAAUCUCAGCCACCCUUCUAAGUCUGAAUCUCUUAAAAGGCUCGGGAGUACUGCUUUGAUCUCUGGUCCAAGUUAUUUGUUCCUCCAGUAGUGUUAAUAAUAGAUAUUUAACAAAAAUAUUAUUUUCUCCUCGGUGUAAAUACUUUACAAGCAUAAAUUCUAAUCACCUUUGAACUGAAGUCAAAGAUAAUGAUUCAUGGCAUUUAUAAUAGCUGCCUUCCAAAGGACAAAGUAGAAAAAAAUAUAGCAGAUGCAGUGAAACUUAGUCAGUUUGUGUUCUGGAGAACUGAAACAAGCGUGAAUAAAUUACAUAGGCAAAGACAAUGCUAAUGGAAAAGAUCUGUUUCCAACAGCUUUCAUGCGAUUGAAACUAGUAAUUUUUUAUUUGCAAUGACAUCUUAGGAACUUUAGCUACUGAGCUAGGAAUGCAGAAAUCCCUUAUGGUACAUUAGAUUCCCAGAAGAAUCAGAAUUAAUGGUUAAUUGAAGUAAGCCAGGUAGUAUGGCAACUCUGGAUGUGUCUUUUAAGAUACAGUUUUGUAUAGGUAAAAGAGAUGUUGCAUUUCUUAGGCUUGUCAAUAUCCAUAUUAGUAAUACAGAUCCCAAAGCAAAUCCUGAGUUGGUAAAAGUCCUUCUAAGUAUAUUGAAGUCAACAUCUGUUAUAUAAUAACAGCACCUUUGGUUAUAUUCUUAUGAGAGCUCCAAAAGGCUCCAUACAGAAUGUAGAGUUUCACUGUGUGGAAUUAUAUUCCAUUAAUAUAUGGAAGAAUACAAUUCCACAGCAAAACCAAUCCACAAACCUUUUAAAAUAUGGUUUCCUUGACUUAGGAUGUUUGUAUGAAAAUUCAGAUCAAGUUCCUGGAAUCAAUUGUCAUGCCAAAAAAGAUUUUAUUUGGUUUUAAAAUACCUAUCUUUUAAGAAUUAACAAAUCAAAGGAAGAAGAGGAGCACUAAUUCACUCUUGCAGACAAAUCUAAACAGGUAGCAGUCAUUUACUCUCCAGAUUUAAACCAAGAAAAAAGCCAUUGUUGCUUCCAUACUAGGAAAACAGUUACAAGAAUGGCAACUAACAACUGAGACCUAGCCACAAGACCAUUACCAUCAACAAAGGAUAUUCUAGAAAUUUGUUUGCAGAUUUACUGAGUUUGGAAAUUAAUCUUUCUGGAGGGAUGUGUUUUUUUCUGCAGAACUAAUGUUUCCUUUGAAUACAUGCAACGAAGCUGUUCUAAAGCACAGAAGACAUCACCUUGAGGAACAGGAAUUGGAAGGCAUAUUUCAGUUUAUAAUUAACAAACUGCACAGAAUCUGUUUUGACAAGGUCUCCGAGUGGAGCAUCAUGGAAAAAAAAACCCACCACAUUCUUGGAACUGCCAUGUUUAUCUGUGCAUCAGGACUGAAGAAAAAGACAAGUAAAUGGUAUAGUCUAUAGAAGCUCUAGAAAAAAAACCAAAGAAACCAGGAACCACUUUCUGAAGUUCUAUUUAAAGCUAGAAGAGACCAUCUGAUGCAGCACUCCACCAGACAGGCAUACAUGGUAUGUUGUCCAGACACAUAGAGCAUCUCUACUUCAUUACUUUUUUUGCUUUAAAACCCUUUUCUAUCAUUCCUUUUUCCAUAUUGCUUGAGUAACAAGAGGACAAGGUAUUUUUCCUUUGAUCCUCUAUUCACUGCUAUGUGGAAGGGAAAUAAGAAAAUAUUUUGUUUUCUACCCUUAUGCUGUCUGUGCUUAACUCUCAGAAAGCCAUCAAACUCGGUCCUGAAACAGCAGACUGAGAAGAGGAAGGAGACUGCACCCUUUGUCUCAGGCUUGUCCACAGCUCUGAAAUUGUUUCAGGAAAGACUUGAAUUUGUGAGCAUCAAAAAGGAGGCAGGAACAAGGGCCUUUUGCACCACAAUGGCCACUUACCAUUCAUUUUUCUCUGUGACUCGUCCAUCAGCUUCUGUGUAGCAGGACACAUUCUGCCAGGUAUGUAGAAUAAGUGGGGUUUUGUCUUAGUUCUUAUGUAUUUAAUUAUUUUAGCGUUGUGCUCAUUCCAUUCUUCUUGCUAAGAAAUGAAAGAAAACAACCCUAAGAUACACAAGAAUAAUUUAAACAACAAAAAAACCCAAAACAUCAAGAGCAUAACUAAAACUCACCAACUGAGCAAGCUCAACCUUCUGCUCCAGCAACCGCAGCUCUGUCUGUUUAGCACGUCUUUCUUCAAACAGUUCUCGCCUUUCGUUUUCAACUUGCUUUCUUUCCUCCUCUGCCUGCACUUCAAGUUUUUGUUCAAUUUCUUGUCGUCUCUUUUGCUAAGAUAAACAAACAAGUAUCUUCAGUACUUUUUCUAAAUGAAGAAAGUGUUCUAGUUUGGUCCAAUCACAAUUUUUAUUAUUUAUACCAUUAAAUGCAUUCCUAAAACACAUUAAGAAAUACCUCUUAAAUCACAGGUAGUGGAAAAAAAGAGUUAUCAUUGCAUUGCUCAUUUUGUGUGGGUUAACUAUAAAGUUUAAGCCCCUGUGGAUUUCUGUCUGCUUUUCUAUCAUUCAUUUGGAUUUGAAUUUUUAAUGCAAGCUUAAACCUUUUUCCCCCCCAUAAUGCCAAAAAAAAUGAAAUAGAUUUCAGGUGAGGGAGGGAAAAUGUCAUCUCCCCCAAAAACAAAUAAAAGGUUGCAGACUGGUGUUUGUGACCAACAAAGCAAAUUACACUGUGAAUACUUCCAGUGUAUUAAUCACAAUUAGAUGUAUUAAUGUAAUCCAGGAAUGCCCUGUUUUAUGUCCUAAGCAGCUAUAUGCUGUUAAGAUUGUACAACAGCUGUCUAAACACAAGAAGUACAAUUUAGUAUCUGGACAACACAAUGUGUGUGAUAAAUCAAAAUACAGGUCUGAGGAGUUUUAUAAUAAAUUUUUGUGCAUCAAGAAAAUGGUAUCUCCACAAAUUCUCACAAAAAUGUUGCAAAGAGCAGUAACUUGACAAAGUCUCUUUAUGUACAAAUACUGCUAUAAAUCAGACAAAGACUCCAUGUUUCUAGACCAUCCCAAUCAAUUUUUUUUGUUCUAAAGGCAAGCAGGCAACAGAGAACUUUGGUCCUCUCUCCCAUGCUACGUGACAAGUCAGAUUAAACAGCAGGAUGUCCAAAUACUGAAUCUAAACAUGAUCAAUACCAACAAUGCAAGCCAGCUAUGCUACCAUUACACAGAAAAAGUUAAGUUUAAAAACUCUGAAUCUGCUUCCAUCGAACUGCUGAAAGCAGAACUGCUGAACAUUGUUUUUUAAUCUAAAGGUUAUUAGUAUUCACUGAAUAAUCCAUUUAAGGUAACAGUAAACAAACACCAUGCCUUCCACAAUUUAAAAGGGAAUAUUAGGAAUAAAGGUACCACUGUCCUAUACAGAGGUUAUUCUGAAGUUAUUCUUAAGCUAUGCAAAGGCUUCAUUUUAGUACAAUCAAAUAUAUUAAACCUGGGAUUUAUUCUUAUCUAUAUUAAGAGGGGAAAGCCAUUUGUAGUCAAACAGGUAGCAUAACACAAACACACUGUAGAUGGUUAUAACUUCAGCAUCUGGAACACAUCAGAGAGUGCACUGCUUCAGCAGUACUCUUAUCAACAUUAUUUUCAGAAGUACCCUAUGAUCUAUUAAAUAGUUACCUGAUUAAAGUCUAUCUACUUUAAAUGAUCUCCAAAUAAUGUAAAAAAAGUGUGUGUGGGGAAAUCUAUUUUGUGUUUUACAUGUUUUAAAAAAAUCUAAUUUAAAAAAAACAGACAACAAAACAGUACCUUUUCACUUUUGCAAUGGUCAGAAAUAGUGUGGUGAAGUCAUAUAAUUGUUAAGAGUCCCUUCCCAGUCUUCCACCCCAGUUCUACUAAACUAAACAAAAACCUGUGUGUGCUGCUAACAAUUUGUUGCAUCUGCAGCCUAUGCCAUGGGGAAUUUUCAUUCCUAUUUAAAAGGGGCUUAGCCACACAAUUUUAAAUAAUCAAUAUGUUAUAGAAAUAAAUACCCUCUCAGUAGCAACUGUGGACUCCUGUUUAAACUUUUGAAGAGUGCCCAUCAACAAGCCAAAUAUACGUCGAUUCCUAAAAACAAAAACAAAACCAGAUUUGAAAUUCAGUUCCAGUACUAAAUGUUGUAUUUGCAUAAACAAUCAGGAAAAAAAAUCCACCUCAGAAAGCUGAGUAUUACUCAAGGCCACUAACAACAGAACACACAUGGACUGUGCCAACAGUCAUGGAUAUAAUUUACACUGACAUACCAUGUUUUGCUUAAGAGUAAGACACAGCUCUUAUCCAUAACACAGCACAGAUAGCACUGGCAAAUUGGAAGUUCAAACAUUUUACAUCUGGAAAUAAUGACACUAAAUGAAACACUGAAAGUUAAUAUAAUCCUAAAGCAGAGAGAAUGGAAGAAAUGGUUGAGUAAAUAAGGCAAGGAAAUGCAAGGUCAUUGACCUUUCUGUAAAACAUACCCCUACCUCCAGUCCUGCUCAAAGGAUUAAGGAGCCACAGGAGACUGAAAGCCUAUCUGCCAGUUUGCCUAACAAUAUCUUCUAUGGUAAGACACUGCACCAUGGGAUGAAAUCAGAACUCAUGUCAUCUAGUGAAGUCUUGUUUUGACAAAAUUAAACACGUAAAAUUCUUGAAAGAAUUCCCUUCUCCUGAACAACAACCAAUUUUGAACUACACCUUUUCUUUCCAUUCACUUCCACGUUAAGCUUUACAGCAAGAAGCAGACACUAUCUGCCUUGAAUUUUUACUCAAACAAAAGGGAAAGGAAAUACUAAUCUCAGUACCACUCUACUACAGGGGCACAAACCUGACAUGGAAAGAUGAAGGUACUUGUACAUUAAACAAAAGAAAUAGGAACAAAAAAAAAUAGAGAGGUAGAAACUACUCCCUAUUUGCAUAUGAAUAACAUCCCAGAAGACACUGAGGAGGAGGAAAAAAAAAAAAAAAUCAAGCCUCUUUCUACCACAAGUCACACCGAGAUCAAUACUGGUUUUCUCAUCUACCCAGAAGACUACUAAGUGCACAACAGUGAAGAUACAACUGUAAGGAAAUAGAAGUUUAGCACCUGAAGCUCGAGGGAGUUCAAUAAGAAUUUUGAAAAUCUCUGAGAACAGCUGUUGGAAUCUGGUCAUGGAAGCACAUCAGUUAGUGGUGCUGUAACUGUAAAAUCAGCAAAGUGUCUUUUCUUUGAUAAAUGACCCAUUGUCCUUGUCAGAGCAGCUCUCCAUAAUUCUUUAUUUCAGUUUUCAUUCUUCUAUUUGAGGUAUGGGGUACUAUUUCACCAGCUGCACUGCAGACUGGAGUCCACAAAGUGGGACACAACUGCAGACUUGCUUUUCCAGUGCCUCUUCCUGAAAGAACUCCAUUUCACCAAGAAUUUUAUGAACUACCUCGACUCAAGUAAGUAGGAAGAAAGCAAGUAUACAAAGGAAAAUAAGAAGCAUCAGACAAAAGGAAGGUCAGUCGGACUGUACACACAAUGACUCUGAAAGCAAUAAAAGGAAAACGACAGAUGUGCUGCAUGAAAAACAACAAGCAGAAACCUACACUCAAAAGCCUCUUCCAAUCAACAAAGUAACAAGACAGCUGUAACAGUCCAAAGUGUUAAGCAACCAAUGGAUACCUACUGUCUUAGUCAAAGAUGACCAGUUACAAUAGCACUAGCAAACUUAUGCCUGUAGGUGGCCUGACAAGAGGAAUCUCUGCCAUGUACGGAUCAAAGGAUGUGUUGUUACUGCUGUGAAGUAUCUGGAGAGAGUAUUUCUGCAUACCUUUGUUUUCCUUUCUCAUCCAUAUUUUGAUCUUGUAUAAGGUCUCGACGUGUUCGCUCUUUGGAGGUAGCAACAACAGAAGAUGGCAACGCUGGCUAUAACAAAGAACAAUGAACUACUUUGUGUGUGUUCCAGAUAAGUGAAUUUCUUUCUUCACAGUUCUAUUUAUCAUGUGUUACCUUUUUGAUAUCAUCAUCCUCUGCGUCGCUUUCUUGGCGUGAUUCUCUUCUUGUCCGACGUUCUCCACCCAGCCUGAAGAAGAGAAAGCAUUAGUGGACACUAGAGAAUAUUUGUAGGACAGCAUGUUCCAACAUAAGAAAGUCAUCAUAUAUAGUCAGAAAAACAAACACUUCCAGUUAAGAAUCUCCCCACUGUUCCAAUGACCAGGAAGUAGCAUUUUGCAGGCAGAAUCUACUGUUGGUAGAAAUCAGUGAGAGAAAACAGUUUAAGCUUGAAUUAAGAGCCAACAUUGAUACCACAUUGGCUUUUUAGAAAACCUUUGGAAUUUAUUUCUUGUUUUCAAUGGUUCUACUUUUCCUCUUCCAGAAUAUCUAAAAAGUCUAUUGAUGUAAGGACCACAAGACAGAUUUAAAUGUCUGCAGAUAUAAUAGUUUGUAUGAUUCCUCAAAUGGGAAAUGCUAUUUAUGUCACCUAGCCAAAUACCUUAAAAAACAAGUGAAGAGGGGACCUGAGAACUUGGAUGAACUAUGACUUUAACAAAGAACUAAGCAGUGUGUUAUUUUCAGCUUUCAUUCUCAGCUUUAUGGCCCAGAACCUUGCUGCUGGUAAAGCCAUUUCACAAUAUUCAUUCUGUGUUAACAUAAAAAUUCACAACCAAACCUUGCUUUAGCCAAGAACUACCAACUGAAUGAAGGAAGCUCACCAUCAUUAGUCACAUCUAACAGAUCCGCAUCUAGAUGUGAAAGCUCAAAAUCUCAGUCUGUUGCCACACUGUAGGCAUUCAAUUAAUUGAACAGGACAUCUCAGCCAUGAUUCAGUUUGUCUACUGCUAAAUAAAUCUGGGACACGAAGAAGAAUAAACCAGAAAUUUCCCAGAAUCUUUGUAUUGCUCUAACUUUAUAUUAUUGCUAUAAUUGUUAUAUUGCUGUAAGAUACUAAGGAAAAGAGCCAGAUGAUUUCACCACGUGCAACUGCUAUAACCCAAAAAUGUAUUUUCAACAAAUCCUGAAUAUGUAAUCUUUGAAGAACAGCCUAAAAAUCAUCAGUUAUUAACAAUUCCUGAAACAAAGUAUUUUAAAUAAAGUCUUAUAAUUCCA
This is a long non-coding RNA of Pogoniulus pusillus (Red-fronted tinkerbird), 10765 nucleotides long. RefSeq lists it as uncharacterized. NCBI's taxonomy places the organism in Eukaryota, Metazoa, Chordata, Aves, Piciformes, Lybiidae. The record is from RefSeq and is a predicted model, not a curated record. The transcript has 5 exons.